AGAACGAACGCUGGCGGCAGGCCUAACACAUGCAAGUCGAACGCCCGUAGCAAUACGGGAGUGGCAGACGGGUGAGUAACGCGUGGGAACGUACCUUUCGGUUCGGAAUAACCCGGGGAAACUCGGGCUAAUACCGGAUACGUCCGCAAGGAGAAAGAUUUAUCGCCGAAAGAUCGGCCCGCGUCGGAUUAGCUAGUUGGUGAGGUAACGGCCCACCAAGGCGACGAUCCGUAGCUGGUCUGAGAGGAUGAUCAGCCACACUGGGACUGAGACACGGCCCAGACUCCUACGGGAGGCAGCAGUGGGAAUAUUGGACAAUGGGCGAAAGCCUGAUCCAGCCAUGCCGCGUGAGUGAAGAAGGCCUUAGGGUUGUAAAGCUACUUUCAGCGGGGAAGAUAAUGACGGUACCCGCAGAAGAAGUCCCGGCUAACUUCGUAGCCCAGCAGCCGC
RNAcentral lists this ribosomal RNA (450 nucleotides) under uncultured soil bacterium. Its description in RNAcentral is "bacterial SSU rRNA". It matches the Rfam family "Bacterial small subunit ribosomal RNA", at positions 26 to 518 of the family's 1533-position model. The record is from RNAcentral.